This 1771-nucleotide long non-coding RNA is filed under the name Strongylocentrotus purpuratus (purple sea urchin). Its description in RNAcentral is "uncharacterized LOC115918782". The record is from RNAcentral. Lineage: Eukaryota; Metazoa; Echinodermata; Echinoidea; Camarodonta; Strongylocentrotidae.
UCCGGGAGGUCGGAAGGCCGUGUAGGAUCGGGCUUUCAAUUCAAGCGACUGCUAUAAUUCCUGAAUUAUUCUUUCUCCAGUGCUGUUUGAGCGAUUUCAGAGACUGUUUCCUACGAAUAGUGAGAUCAGAUUGGGCAAAUUGUUAGAGUUCUAUUGACUGGAUAAUGGACGAAUCUAAUCCGUGGAUAUUAUUUGGGAUUACGUCUGUCAAAUUAUCACUGUAUACGUAAUUGUGUGUGCUACAUUGAGAACUUUUUGAAGAAAUCGACCUGUCUAUAUUUCGUCCAUCUGGAUCUGUAGAUUCCUGAGAUCUUCAACUCAUGCGGGAGUCUUAAAUUCAGUUCAUGUAUAGUUAGAAGACAGUUUCUAUCGCCAUGGAAGCGCUCUUCUGGACGCUUGUGCUCCUCUCUCAAGUCCUUGGAGUCGUCAGUGUGAUCCUGUUAGCAACAUGGUUAUCAGAAUACGGCGGAGGCUAUGACUGGGACUGUGGAAACGGAGUUGGCAGCUACCAUUACCUUCUGCUAACGAUCGGCAUGGUUUUUCUCUAUGCGGAAGCAAUGAUCUCAUUUCGAGUGACACACAGACUCGGUCUCUCCUACACGGCUGAGAAAGCGAUCCACGCAACGAUACAAUCAAUCGUCGUCGUUUUAGUUGGUAUCGGUGUGCAUGCUGCGUUCGUCUGCAAAGACACACAGGGCCCAGAAAAGGCGGAAAAGACCUGUAUUCAUUACACAGCUGGUUGGGACUAGCAACAAUUAUUGUCUUCUUUGGCCAGUGGAUAUAUGGGAUUGUGAUGACUGUCGCCUUACGCAAGCUCGAUCGCUCAUGGCAAGAUUUGCUGCUCCCCAACCAUGCUUUCUUUGGUAUUCUAAUAUUCGCCAUGUCAAUAUGCUCUUGUUUAACAGGAGUCAACGAAAUGGCUAUAUUCUUCGUAGAGAACUACAAUCAAAUCGUGCCUUCGGGUCACCUCGCCAAUGCCUUUGGUCUUUGCCUCAUCGCGUUUGCUGCCGUUACCGCUUACGUCGCUUAUAAACCAGACUUUCAAAUUCCAGAAAACAGGCGGCACCCAGAAUGCAACGCGGUACCCACAUCAGAGGGCAUCGCUACUUCCGGGUCAGGAAAGUUGUCACGAACCCGACAGAGCAUGCGCAUCACAAGUACGGUGCUACGGAGGAGACGGCGUUCAAAGAAAUGGAUGAAAGAGAAACGAAAGAAGUUUGAAGUAUGAAUCUAAGAUAUUUACGUACAGGUGUAUUUCAGACUCUGAUAUCGAUAUUACGAUGACAAGGAAGCGAGAGAAUGAAUGGUGCCUAUUUUUCCUUCAACAAAUAACAUUCAGAAUUUCAGAUUCGGUAUGAACUAUAUUAUCAGAUUCAUAUUUAUAUGCAAAAGUGAAUUCCAACUGCCUUUAUGUAUGUUUUGACUUUCAUAUAACUGGAGUGCUAUAAAACAUAUACAUAAUUGGAAACAUCGUGGAAUUCCAUCUGUAAUGUGGCAACCAAACAGCGAAAAAAGCUAUGGACUACUUAAAACCAAUUGGGGUGAGCUUUUCAUCUGGACAAUGUCAUACAAGCUUCAAUGUGAUUGGUUUGUAAAACUUACUUCGUUGUGACGGACUUUCACCAAAUCGGCCUUUUUUCUGUAUCAGUUCUUGAACAAUUUCCAGCCUUAAAGAAUUCAGAGUUGUUCGUGAAUUACGAUUGAAUUACUUUUUAAAACUAUCACUAUGAAAAUUAAGAUUGUUCAAACCAAUGAAUUCUUAAUAACAGUA